ACUCAAAUGAAUAGACGGGGGCCCGCACAAGCAGCGGAGCAUGUGGUUUAAUUCGACGCAACGCGAAGAACCUUACCUGGGCUUGACAUGUUCGUCAUACCCGUGGAAACACGGGGUCAGUUCGGCUGGACGAUCACAGGUGGUGCAUGGCUGUCGUCAGCUCGUGUCGUGAGAUGUUGGGUUAAGUCCCGCAACGAGCGCAACCCCCGUCGUAUGUUGCCAGCAUUUAGUUGGGGACUCAUGCGAGACUGCCGGUGACAAACCGGAGGAAGGUGGGGAUGACGUCAAGUCAUCAUGCCCCUUAUGUCCAGGGCUACACACGUGCUACAUUGGCGCGUACAGAGGGCUGCGAUACCGUGAGGUGGAGCGAAUCCCUUAAAGCGCGUCUCGGUUCGGAUUGUAGGCUGAAACUCGCCUACAUGAAGGCGGAGUUGCUAGUAAUCGCGGAUCAGCAUUGCCGCGGUGAAUACGUUCCCGGGCCUUGCACACACCGCCCGU
RNAcentral lists this ribosomal RNA (498 nucleotides) under uncultured bacterium. Its description in RNAcentral is "partial 16S ribosomal RNA". It matches the Rfam family "Bacterial small subunit ribosomal RNA", at positions 899 to 1397 of the family's 1533-position model. The record is from RNAcentral.